UGGGGAUAAUGUGGAAAUGGCAGUUGU
This 27-nucleotide non-coding RNA is filed under the name Homo sapiens (human). Lineage: Eukaryota; Metazoa; Chordata; Mammalia; Primates; Hominidae. The record is from RNAcentral.